UCCAGACUCCUACGGGAGGCAGCAGUGGGGAAUAUUGCACAAUGGGGGGAACCCUGAUGCAGCGACGCCGCGUGGGUGAAGGAGCGUUUCGGCGCGUAAAGCCCUAUCGGCAGGGAAGAAGGAGGACGGUACCUGACUAAGAAGCCCCGGCUAACUACGUGCCAGCAGCCGCGGUAAUACGUAGGGGGCAAGCGUUAUCCGGAUUUACUGGGUGUAAAGGGGGCGCAGACGGCAGCGCAAGCCAGGAGUGAAAGCCCGGGGCCCAACCCCGGGACUGCUCUUGGAACUGCGCGGCUGGAGUGCAGGAGGGGCAGGCGGAAUUCCUGGUGUAGCGGUGAAAUGCGUAGAUAUCAGGAGGAACACCGGUGGCGAAGGCGGCCUGCUGGACUGCGACUGACGUUGAGGCCCGAAAGCGUGGGGAGCAAACAGGAUUAGAUACCCCUGUAC
RNAcentral lists this ribosomal RNA (447 nucleotides) under uncultured bacterium. RNAcentral describes it as "partial 16S ribosomal RNA". It matches the Rfam family "Bacterial small subunit ribosomal RNA", at positions 330 to 793 of the family's 1533-position model. The record is from RNAcentral.